Molecule: transfer RNA, 83 nt
Filed under: Eutreptiella gymnastica
Lineage: Eukaryota; Euglenozoa; Euglenophyceae; Eutreptiales; Eutreptiaceae
Description: tRNA-Leu
Rfam family: tRNA
About the family: Transfer RNA (tRNA) molecules are approximately 80 nucleotides in length.
Source: RNAcentral
GCAGGUGUGGCGGAAUUGGUAGACGCGCAAGAUUUAGGUUCUUGUGUCUUAAUGAUGUGAGAGUUCGAGUCUCUCCACCUGUA